Molecule: ribosomal RNA, 460 nt
Filed under: uncultured bacterium
Lineage: Bacteria
Description: partial 16S ribosomal RNA
Rfam family: Bacterial small subunit ribosomal RNA
Source: RNAcentral
CCUACGGGUGGCAGCAGUGAGGAAUAUUGGUCAAUGGCCGGGAGGCUGUACCAGCCAAGUAGCGUGCGGGAUGACGGCCCUACGGGUUGUAAACCUCUUUUGUGCGGGAGCAAGAUGCAGGACGGGACCUGCUGUGUGAGUACCUGAAGAAUAAGCACCGGCUAAUUCCGUGCCAGCAGCCGCGGUAAUACGGAGGAUGCGGGCGUUAUCCGGAUUUAUUGGGUUUAAAGGGUGCGUAGGCGGGAGCAUAAGUGUGCCGGGAAAUGCCGGGGCUCAACCCCGGCCCCGCGUUGGAAACUGGGUCGCUUGAGUGCGCGGAGGGUAGGCGGAAUGCGUGGUGUAGCGGUGAAAUGCUUAGAUAUCACGAAGAACUCCGAUCGCGAAGGCAGCAUACGGGAGCGCAACUGACGCUGAUGCACGAAGGCGUGGGUAUCGAACAGGAUUAGAUACCCUAGUAGUC